Molecule: long non-coding RNA, 486 nt
Organism: Triticum dicoccoides
Lineage: Eukaryota; Viridiplantae; Streptophyta; Magnoliopsida; Poales; Poaceae
Exons: 3
Source: RefSeq, a predicted model, not a curated record
GAGAGGUAUAGGACAUUCGUCAGUGUCACGUACAAGGGAAUUAACAACACAUCCAAUUGGACCUUCGAUAUUCCCGGGGUCAUUCGAUCAUACAACGGAAUUAACAACAAAUCUGAUUGGACAUUCAGAAUUUCCCGGGUCAUCAAAUCCGAAUGCUUGUUUUCAAAAUAUAGCUCCAUCAUUGGCGACAUCCCUGUCAUUUGGUGAUUAUUCUGCUUUCUAUGCUCCACCACGUAUUCCAGGGGAAUUUACAAGUUUGUUGCUUCAAGCUGAUAAACAAAACCCAACACUGUCUACCGUUCGGCGAUUGGAUUUCAACGAAGGUACAAGUACAAGCAGGUUUCAGUGGUGACAUCUGUUCUAGUCAUCACAUAAACCACAAGAACAGGAGGCAACUGCAUUAGCAACGAGCUCAUGUGUCCUUUUCAUUUUUAUUGUCUGGGUUUUCCUUACGGACCUGUAAACAAAUAUAUUAAUUUUAGUGGU